RNAcentral lists this ribosomal RNA (492 nucleotides) under uncultured bacterium. Its description in RNAcentral is "partial 16S ribosomal RNA". It matches the Rfam family "Bacterial small subunit ribosomal RNA", at positions 29 to 507 of the family's 1533-position model. The record is from RNAcentral.
AGUGAACGCUGGCGGUAGGCCUAACACAUGCAAGUCGAACGGCAGCACAGUAAGAGCUUGCUCUUACGGGUGGCGAGUGGCGGACGGGUGAGGAAUACAUCGGAAUCUACUUUUUCGUGGGGGAUAACGUAGGGAAACUUACGCUAAUACCGCAUACGACCUACGGGUGAAAGCAGGGGAUCUUCGGACCUUGCGCGAUUGAAUGAGCCGAUGUCGGAUUAGCUAGUUGGCGGGGUAAAGGCCCACCAAGGCGACGAUCCGUAGCCGGUCUGAGAGGAUGAUCAGCCACACUGGAACUGAGACACGGUCCAGACUCCUACGGGAGGCAGCAGUGGGGAAUGUUGGACAAUGGGCGCGAGCAUGAGCCAGCCAUACCGCGUGGGUGAAGAAGCACUUCGGGUUGUAAAGCCCUUUUGUUGGGAAAGAAAAGCAGCAGGUUAAUACCCCGCUGUUCUGACGGUACCCAAAGAAUAAGCACCGGCUAACUUCGUG